Leucoraja erinaceus (little skate) is the source of this 2704-nucleotide long non-coding RNA. RefSeq lists it as uncharacterized. Lineage: Eukaryota; Metazoa; Chordata; Chondrichthyes; Rajiformes; Rajidae. The transcript has 3 exons. The record is from RefSeq and is a predicted model, not a curated record.
GACUCACAAUAAGAUGGCCAAAAAUCACAGCCAUAAGUGGCAGCAUUUUCUCUAAAAUCAUGCAACUCAAAUUUCACUACACCAAUUGAUGUACGCGACAAUAAAUGUCCUUUGUCCUGCCCUAAUUAUCCAUGAACCUGGAUUAACUGGAGUUGUAACUGUCAUUGAUUCAUAGAGGGAUACAGCAAGAAAACAACCCCCUUAGCUCAUUGAGUCCAUGCUGACCAUCAAACACCCAUUUUUUACCUGCAUCUACAAUUUAUUGAUGGAAUUAACAGUUUGAAGAAGGGUCUCGACCCAAAAUGUCACCCAUUCCUUCUUUCCAGAGAUGCUGCCUGUCCCGCUGUUACUCCAGUAUCUUGUGUCCAUCUACAUGAGUUUAGAUUGUAGGAGUAAACUGGAGAUUAGGAGGAAAAAAACACUCAGCCACAAGGAGAUUGUGCAAUGUCCGAUGGCCCCAGAGAUCAGGUUGGAACUUUUUUCAUUGGGGCUACUGAUAAUAUUGGCAAUUUUAGUGUCCGACAAAAGGAGGAUUUCUGUCUUUGGCAUCGUUUUGCAAAGAUCAUGAGGUUCAUGGCUCUGGAAUGCCUGGGUUCUGGGAGGAAGCUAAGUACAGGGUGAUGUCCAGAUGUCCCCUCAAUUGUUAAUAUGUAUGAGGGUUUUGCAGAAAGAACUGGGCCUUGCUGCAAAUGCACGACCAGGAUUGGUUGGGGAAAGGUAUGAUAUAAUACCACUAUUAACUAUGUUGCAUGGUCUUUGCACUGUUAUCUUGUGGUUGGUCAAGGUGAGGGGAAUUGCCUGAAUUGUUUAUAUCACUUGGUAAAAUGCUUCUUUACUUAGGGGAACUGACUUCCAUUAGGAACUUUAUGUAGAAACAAAGUAAUGGGGUAUUUUGUGAUCGGGUUAGGGAACUGUCAAUUUAUGUUUUGUAUGAACUUUAUUUGAUUGGUUUGUAGGGGUUUCCCUCCCCGUGUAUUUCGGGCCACAGGUCCGAUACAGUAUAUGAGAGGGGACACCACAAGAGUCGGUGUCGAUCUUCUAGAAGUGCACUUGCUGGAGAUGUCUAUUCGCACAAGGCUGAAGGGCUUGGUCGACUAGAGACAAAGACCCACGGUAUUGGUGAGGUAUUGUAUAGGUUAGUGUGUUUGUGUUGAGAAAUAAAUAAGUUUAGUUGAUCCAGUGCUUGACUCAAUGUUUUACUGAAUUAGACUAACGGGGUGAGAAUAGGAGCAGAAUUACACUACAAGGAGAGCCAGCUUGCCUGUUGAAACUUGCCUUUGAACGUUUUGAUGGCAACAGUUCAGAGCUAGAGGUGAAUUUACUUGUAAAAUAUAUUCUCAAAAUCACACCUCUCUUUUCACAAAAUAACAAAGAAGAGCGCAGAAAAUCAGGAGUUAAUUGCUCUUUGGAGAAAAGUCUUACCAAGUUUUGGAGUCUGACUUUUAGAAGUCCCUAUAGAGUUAUAUUCUAAUUAUGGCCAAAGCAAGAAUUUAUGUUGAACUCUUUUGUUGGAUCAGCAAAUCACAGAGCAUGUGAUAUUUCCUUUUAUUGUUUCUAAUGCUCGUGCAGCUGUUUCCGGUCAUCAGUGCAGGACUGUACUCGUUACCAAUAAAUGUUCCGUUCUUGUUGCUCCAUUGCGGAAAUAUCAGGCUGACUGCGAAUAAUGUUAAGACAUGUCUUUACAAUAUCAACCAUCCAGUUUCACUAUUUAAAUUGAGCAUGGUUUUGGCUUUCAAAAUUAUGUUGCAAUUUCAUGUAGGAUUCCAUUUACGCUCUGUGGUUAUGAUAUGGUACUAUACAACUUUCUUUAUCCCAGGAGGGAAAUAAAUCUGCCAAUAGUCAUAAAACACAAGAUACAUGAAAUUAAAGUGACAAGUGGAAAGGAUAGGGGAUGUGCAAAGAUUUGGAGUGGGGAGGAGAGUCAGUCUACCCCACGACAGAAGGGGGAGGAGUUGUACAGUUUUAUAGCCUGUACUAUCAAAUCUGUACUGCGGGUUUUUCUCAAGUGGGGUGGUGCACUGGUCUUAGAUCUUGUUCUGCUGAAAUAGUCCUUCUGUUUCCUCACAGCUCCAAUGCCCAGCUUCAAUUCUGACUCUGGGUGCCCUCUUUGUGGCAUUUGCAUGUUCUUUGGUAACUGGAUGAGUUUCUCACAGCAAGACUCCCACAUCCCAAAACAUACUAGUUGUCAGGAUAAUUGGGUGCUGUAAACUAUUCCUUACAUAAGUGGAAGAAAAAUCAAGCUGGAAUUGAGGGGCAUUGCAUACAGGAUAGGUUACAAGGAAAUACUUCGGGUAUUCUGUAAAUCCCAAAACAAAAAAAAGAGCCGAAUAGAUGUUUUUCGAACAAUUCCUCUAGGUUUCAGUUCAGUUUCCAGCAUUUGCAGCCUCUUGUGUCUCUCUUGAAGAAAACGAAACUGAACCUGACGGAAGACCCGGCUUAAAUAACACAGGCGCGGUGCCAGAUGCCACUGUCGAUGCAAUUUUCCGGAGUCAAACUGUGGGGUUUGUGCACAACCUGGGCUUGAAGUCAUAUUUCGUGCAGUUUGCAGCAUAUCCUUUGCAACAGGAGGAAAUUGUUCUCAAUCUUAACUGGUCAUUUCAACUGGAAGUGAAAUCAAAAUGCAUCGCCUGUCUUUUCUACUACUGGCCUGCACUCUCCCUGCAGUGGAUGGCUUAAUUAUUCAGGUUGCGUUGGGGGGAUUGGU